CAGUCGCCACGGUAAUACGAAGGGUGCAAGCGUUAAUCGGAAUUACUGGGCGUAAAGCGUGCGUAGGCGGUUUGUUAAGUCUGCUGUGAAAUCCCCGGGCUCAACCUGGGAAUGGCAGUGGAUACUGGCAAGCUAGAGUGUGUCAGAGGAUGGUGGAAUUCCCGGUGUAGCGGUGAAAUGCGUAGAGAUCGGGAGGAACAUCAGUGGCGAAGGCGGCCAUCUGGGACAACACUGACGCUGAGGCACGAAAGCGUGGGGAGCAAACAGGAUUAGAUACCCGCGUAGUCCCUGUCUCUUAUAC
RNAcentral lists this ribosomal RNA (301 nucleotides) under uncultured bacterium. RNAcentral's name for it is "partial 16S ribosomal RNA". It matches the Rfam family "Bacterial small subunit ribosomal RNA", at positions 509 to 807 of the family's 1533-position model. The record is from RNAcentral.